CUAUCUUUUUUUGUGAUGGAGACUCUGAUGCAGCACGCCGCGUGGAGGAGACGCAUUUCGGUGUGUAAACUCCUUAAAUAUAGGAAGAUAAUGACGGUACUAUAUGAAUAAGCACCGGCUAACUCCGUGCCAGCAGCCGCGGUAAUACGGAGGGUGCAAGCGUUACUCGGAAUCACUGGUCGUAAAGCGCGCGCAGGCGGCCUUGUAAGUUGGAUGUGAAAGCCUACGGCUCAACCGUAGAACUGCAUCCAAAACUACUAGGCUAGAGUGUGGGAGAGGAAGAUGGAAUUAGUUGUGUAGGGGUAAAAUCCGUAGAGAUAACUAGGAAUACCAAAAGCGAAGGCAAUCUUCUGGAACAUUACUGACGCUGAGGCGCGAAAGCGUGGGGAGCAAACAGGAUUAGAUACCCUGGUAGUCCACGCCCUAAACGAUGAAUGUUAGUCGUCGGGUAGCUAGUCUAUUCGGUGAUGCAGCUAACGCAUUAAACAUUCCGCCUGGGGAGUACGGUCGCAAGAUUAAAACUCAAAGGAAUAGACGGGGACCCGCACAAGUGGUGGAGCAUGUGGUUUAAUUCGAAGAUACGCGAUGAACCUUACCUAGCCUUGACAUAUUUAAGAACACUUUAGAGAUAGAGUGGUGCCUUCGGGAGCUUUUAUACAGGUGCUGCACGGCUGUCGUCAGCUCGUGUCGUGAGAUGUUGGGUUAAGUCCCGCAACGAGCGCAACCCUCGUCACUAGUUACUAACGGUUCGGCCGAGGACUCUAGUGAGACUGCCUUCGCAAGGAGAGGAAGGUGAGGACGACGUCAGUCAUCAUGGCCCUUACGGCUAGGGCAACACACGUGCUACAUGGCCAGGACAUGAGACGCGAUACCGCGAGUGAGCAAAUCUAUAACCUGUCCUCAGUUCGGAUUGAGUCUGCAACUCGACUACUGGAGCUGGAAUCACUAGUAAUCGUAGAUCAGCUAUGCUACGGUGAAUCGUUCCGGGAUCUUGUACUCACCCCCGGUCCACCAUUGGAGUGUGAUUCACCCGGAGCGGAAGCUUACUGCUACCCUCCAAGGUGAUCGGACUGGUGAGUCCUGUACAGGUACCGUGAGAAACUUGCGCUGAAUACAUCUCUCUGAUAGGGCGAGAUUCG
RNAcentral lists this ribosomal RNA (1139 nucleotides) under uncultured Pseudomonadota bacterium. RNAcentral describes it as "bacterial SSU rRNA". It matches the Rfam family "Bacterial small subunit ribosomal RNA", at positions 356 to 1533 of the family's 1533-position model. Lineage: Bacteria; Pseudomonadati; Pseudomonadota. The record is from RNAcentral.